GGAUUAGAUACCCUGGUAGUCCACGCCGUUUACGAUGAGCACUAGUCGGUUGUCUUGUUAGGGAUGGCCCUUGGAGAGAAAUUGUUAAGUGCUCCGCCUGGGGAGUAUGCUCGCAAGGCUGUAACUCAAAGGAAUUGACGUGGGCUCACACAAGCGCUGGAGGAUGUGGUCUAAUUCGAAGCAACGCGAAGAACCUUACCAGGUCUUGACAUGCUGGGAUCAACCGUGUGAAAGCACGGGGCUUGCCCAUACGGGUGUAACCAGCACAGGUGCUGCAUGGCUGUCGUCAGCUCGUGCCGUGAGGUGUUAGGUUAAGUCCUUUAACGAGCGAAACCCCUAUGAUUUGUUGCCAGCGGUUCGGCCGGGGACUCAAAUCAGACUGCCGGGUGUAACUAGGAGGAAGCUGGGGACGACGUCAAGUCAUCAUGGCCCUUAUGACCUGGGCUACACACGUCCUACAAUGGUCGGUACAGAGGGUUGCCAAGCCGCGAGGCGGAGCCAAUCCCUUAAAGCCGGCCCCAGUUCGGAUUGCAGGCUGCAAUUCGCCUGCAUGAAGCCGGAAUCGCUAGUAAUCGCGGGUCAGCUACACCGCGCCGAAUUUGUUCCUGAGCCUUGUACACACCGCCCGUCAAGCCACCCGAAUUGGUCGCACCCGAAGUCGUAGUUCCAACCGCAAGGAGGACGCGCCGAAG
Molecule: ribosomal RNA, 692 nt
Filed under: uncultured organism
Description: bacterial SSU rRNA
Rfam family: Bacterial small subunit ribosomal RNA
Source: RNAcentral